Molecule: ribosomal RNA, 460 nt
Filed under: uncultured bacterium
Lineage: Bacteria
Description: partial 16S ribosomal RNA
Rfam family: Bacterial small subunit ribosomal RNA
Source: RNAcentral
CCUACGGGAGGCAGCAGUGAGGAAUAUUGGUCAAUGGACGAGAGUCUGAACCAGCCAAGUAGCGUGAAGGAUGACUGCCCUAUGGGUUGUAAACCUCUUUUAUAUGGGAAUAAAACGUUCCACGUGUGGGAUUUUGUAUGUACCAUAUGAAUAAGGAUCGGCUAACUCCGUGCCAGCAGCCGCGGUAAUACGGAGGAUCCGAGCGUUAUCCGGAUUUAUUGGGUUUAAAGGGUGCGUAGGCGGAUUUUUAAGUCAGUUGUGAAAGUUUGCGGUUCAACCGUAAAAUUGCAGUUGAAACUGGCAGUCUUGAGUACGGUAGAGGUAGGCGGAAUUCGUGGUGUAGCGGUGAAAUGCUUAGAUAUCACGAAGAACUCCGAUUGCGAAGGCAGUUCACUAGGCUGCGACUGACGCUGAGGCUCGAAAGUGUGGGUAUCAAACAGGAUUAGAUACCCCGGUAGUC